Molecule: long non-coding RNA, 4017 nt
Organism: Cavia porcellus (domestic guinea pig)
Lineage: Eukaryota; Metazoa; Chordata; Mammalia; Rodentia; Caviidae
Exons: 2
Source: RefSeq, a predicted model, not a curated record
UUCAGACCAGCCAGGGGCCACCCCGGUACCCUCAGAGGAGCAGCCUGCCGGCUCCAUCAGACUUCCGGCACCAGCGCACUAGUGCUCACCGUUGUCCAGGCUUGGGGCACCAGCAUUCUUAACUAGUCCUCUGUUCUCUCCCUCAGCCACUUUGCUGCCUGGCUACGCAGGGCCGCUGCCGGUCCCCCACAGUUCUAUCAUAUGGUUCCCUGACCAGGAACGGCAGAUGAGAGACUCCUGGGGCUGGUUCCCAGUUUGAGUCCCCUGCAGUUCAGGACCAGGACUGGACUGCAUCCUGCAUUAAUUCCUCACUUCUACACUCAGGAGCUGUAACCUUGUCACUGCCGGUUCGCAAACAACACUGACCCAAUUUACCACAGGUGAGCAACCCCUGGAGAUUGCCGCUGGGCCAGGCCCCAGGCGGGUUUUCUCCCCUUUUCCGUGGGUUCCCGUGACACUCUCACGUCCUUAAGACAGCCCAAGACAAGGUCUUUCUGGGCAACCUGUGUCUAUACUGGAGGACUCUCAAAGAACCCAGGUCCUUUGGGUUCGGAUAGCCCAAGGCAGAGUUUUCCUGGGCCAACCCACACUGAAAGGCUCUCACAUCCCUCAGAGCUUUACGCUCUCACGGGCAGAGUUGCUACUGAACCCACAUGAAGUCCACUCAUAAUAUUGGUGAUGGCCAAUUAUUAGGAAUUUUGGAGCCAUAUAAUAACUGAUCGGUCUGGAGUGCAAGGUGAUGACUUUAAACUUGGCAGACCACGGUCUGUUGCCUCAUCUGGCUGUAACUCCAUGGGCUAGACGCCACACCAGAUUCUAUCUUGGGGACCACUUCUUGCCCCCCCCCAAAAAACCAUACCUAUUUAUAGCUUAUCACACUGAUGACAAGUUUACAAAACUCUAUCUUUAAGCCUUUGUUUUGAGAAUGUGUCCUUUCCUGCCAGCAUCCCUGUCCCUUUGUCUCCUCACCACUUCCCCUCCCCUCGCCGUGCCCAUUCCCCACCAGGGAGGGUGGUGAGCAGGGGCAGUGUUGAGAGAUAUGCGCAGGACUGUUUUAAGCUGCUUUGGGCUUUGGGCAGCUUUGGGCUCUCACUCUGCCUCCCAGCUCCACGCGAUAUCUUGGCCACCCUCUUGGUGCUGAGGUCCAGCAGUAGCUCGGGUCCCCCAUAGCAGCCCUGGCUCUGCUUGGCUGUGGCUCUCAUGCGGCUCUCAUGCCGCACUCCAGGUCCACACAUGCAUUCGGCUUUAAUGCUGCGCCCUAGUCCGCGUGUCCCGCAAGCAGUUUCAGCUCCACAUGAUGGUUUGGCCACGCCGGUUGGCUACUGGCCACUGCAGCACCACCUCCGCCUUGUGUGUUUCCAGGGGCAGUUCCAGCCUGCCCCUGCAUGCUACAUCCAGACACUCACCCCACCCACUCUGCAUGUUCCACCUCAGGCUGCGUGCCAGAGAGAUCUCAGCCCCCGCCCCCAAGCGUGGGCACAGCUCCCUGCAAGUGCGCUCUGUCUGCCGGCACACACAGGCACCGCAGACAACUCAUAUUGCUGAUCUGAUGCUGUUCGUGUUUUCAGAUAUAAAGUUCAGAUUGUUUCUGCUGCCUUUUUUGUGUUCCAGCCAUGACAAAUGCCCCCACCCUGGGUGCGCCCCGCCCAGCCUCAGAGUUCCAUCCUCUGUGCGUCUCCCAGACAGGCGCAUUUCCCAGGCAGGCUUCUGCCAAACACAUGCACCACUUUAAAGACAGGCACAGAUAGGCAGCAGCUCGGCGGCUCGACUCAGAGAUCAAUUCCUUUUUGCUAUAAACCACCCAUAAGGUUGUAUGUUAAGCUUACUGCCUGUACUGUAUUGUCAUAAGUGGUGUUCUGUGUUGGGCUUAUUGUCUGUAUUGUACUGUGUUGUCACCGAUAAUCACAAAAAGCUCGAGAGGAUGUAAAUUUGUCUUGGUUUAUAGUACUGCAAAUAACAGGUUUUUAAAAAAAGUAAAUGUGUUCCAAAUUUGACAGUAUUAGAUCAGUUUUGGUAGACUUAUUCAUAAGACUGGUAAACCUUUACUGCAAAAUGUUUCCAUUAAAAUGAGAUUAUACUCCAAAAGAGGGAGGGCAGACUAAAGCCUUUUUGUCAAGUAUGUAAUUUCAGUAUGGCCUGCCAUGUGGCACCCUGGAAAAAGCAGUGUGCCAUCCAGAUAAAGCCUGCUCUCUGAUCUGGAAUGCCAAAACCAUGUUUAAAUAACACCGUAGCUGAUCUCUCUCCUAAAUAAAAGAGUAAAACUUAAUAAACAGGCCAUCCUCUAAAAAUAGAUGGCAUUAGACAUCUUAAUACCAUAAAGAAAUACUUAUGUAUAUGACAUAAAUAACAUGUCAGUUCCUAAAGUUCUCUGGACCUUGUCUUCCUUAUGAGAAGUCAUUACUAAAGUUAUAAAUACCCUGUUGACUCCUACAUACUUACUUAAUCCUACAGAUACCUUCUACUGUAGUCCAAGUCCCAAACAAAUAGGCAAAACCUUAUAGAGAUCUUCAAACCUUAUAGAGAUCUUAAUAUGGUUUUUCAUGUUUUGAACAACAGAGAUAACAGUGACACUUGGAGUUCUGAGACAGGUAAACCUACACAAGGUGGAGCUGCCUGCCCCCCCCCAUGGACCACGCUCACAUGCAGCAGAAGACAUUGGGCAAGAGAGUGCCCCAUCCUGGCAUUCUUUGAGACCUUACUCCAGGGCUACUGGACUGUCCUAGCCACCAGAGAGUGGGUAAGCCAUCCUAACUUCUAGCCCUCAUGGGAAAUGCCAGUACUGCCAGAUUCAUCACUGAAACUUGCUGCCGAAGACUGAUGGGGCUCGGGGCCAACAGCCCCCUUUAUGGGUGUCCGUCUCAGAGUCCAAGUCACACUAAAAGUCUCAGGUAAGACAUUCUCUAUAUUUGUGGACAUAGAGGCCAUACGUACAGAGUUCUUCCUGAGUUUUCAGGCCACUAUAUUAAAUCCUCUUCUAGGAGGUAUUAAAGGUCAAUCUAUACCAUUUACAAACAGGGCCUAUUUAGUGCAGGUCCCAGUCCUAAAUCUUAAAAUGCCUUUUAAUCAAAGUUGCUAGACUGCCAUUCUGGUUUUGCAUCACUCAGGCCCUAGAUCUAACCAUCCUGUUGCCUACUCAUCUCUGCCUUACCAAGGCCUCACAGCCACAACUCACAGGCUAAGUCAUGUUUUGUUAUCCACUUUGUUUCCUAAUUUCUUACGUUCUAUUAAUGAUCAUUUUUACAGCAGGACUCUUAACAGUAUUUCCUACAGACUCCAACGUCAUGCAUACCAGAGACAAGCCUUACCUACCUGCCCUUUUAACUUUUACCUUUUCAGAUGGGGGAGUAAUCACCUCUCAUAACUUCACUCCUCCUAACCCCACACUUAUUUUUCAGAAUUCUGCCUUACCGUGGAAAUGUUCCUACCUCAACGUUGUCCUGAUAUAAUGACAUGUCUAAAUCAAAGGCACCUUUCCUUCUACCUCACCUGGGUCCUUAAAUAUGACAGUGCCAUGCCUCCUCAUAACAUCUUGUCUCUUUGUUUUUUCAGUCUAACAUACAUGCAUUCACCAGUGAAGUUGUCCUGGCUAAAACACCUGGCACCAGCUUCUACAUGUGCAUCAACUGUCAUCCUGUCAACUCCCCUAGACCGCAGUACAGCGCCCUCUGCCAGCAGGAAGCAGUUAAAGAGAGAAAUCUUCACUCCUUUUCAUAAUAAUAAUCAUAAGACGGGAUAUGAAAGGGUUUUGGCCCAGACAGGACACUGUAGCCAGUAAAGCCAAGGAGCUCCUAUCUCCCCCACCCCUAGGAAUUUACCUAUGGUAUGAAACAAAGACCAAUGGGCUACCUGUGCAUCCCUAACGCCCUCUUAGGUUCCACUCACAACCGAGGCUACUUAUGUGCCUCACUCCAUGUGUUCCACAGAGAAAUUGCUGACCCCAGGGGUGGAGAUGCUGUGCCCCAGGGGAUCGGGGGUGUCUCUCCCCGCAUUCUCAAAAUAAAGGUCAUUUAUAUUUCA